CCUACGGGUGGCAGCAGUCGAGAAUCAUUCACAAUGGGGGAAACCCUGAUGGUGCGACGCCGCGUGGGGGAAUGAAGGUCUUCGGAUUGUAAACCCCUGUCAUGUGGGAGCAAAUUAAAAAGAUAGUACCACAAGAGGAAGAGACGGCUAACUCUGUGCCAACAGCCGCGGUAAUACAGAGGUCUCAAGCGUUGUUCGGAAUCACUGGGCGUAAGGCGUGCGUAGGCUGUUUCGUAAGUCGUGUGUGAAAGGCGCGGGCUCAACCCGCGGACGGCACAUGAUACUGCGAGACUAGAGUAAUGGAGGGGGAACCGGAAUUCUCGGUGUAGCAGUGAAAUGCGUAGAUAUCGAGAGGAACACUCGUGGCGAAGGCGGGUUCCUGGACAUUAACUGACGCUGAGGCACGAAGGCCAGGGGAGCGAAAGGGAUUAGAUACCCCAGUAGUC
Molecule: ribosomal RNA, 446 nt
Filed under: uncultured bacterium
Lineage: Bacteria
Description: partial 16S ribosomal RNA
Rfam family: Bacterial small subunit ribosomal RNA
Source: RNAcentral